CAUGGUCAUAUUUGCCCCCAAUUCGAAGCUUCGGAGCUUUCUCUUCUCGCUGGCCUUCGAUUCGCCGUGACGGUCUCUGGGUUUUACCAUCCUCCGAACAAUCUCCGAUGCAGCGGCGCGGCGGAGCUGCGAUCCGGAGGGAGCCCUUGCUGACGAGGGCGGUUAGCGCGGUGUUCUGCUUUGUUCGGAUCGCAGAGUUCGAGAUCCUCUUCUUCCUAUUCUUCGUAAUCGCAUUCCUAAUUUUCAAAGAUCUGACUUCACGGCCGGAGUACAAUCAGAUCUUUGUGAAGAAGCCUGGCGGCGAUGACUUCUGGCCCUUUUAGGAGAUGGCUGCCUCAUUGGAUUGAACACUUCAAAGAAGGAACAUUAAAAUGGUUUCUCUUGAUACUUGUAUAAGAAUCCUGUUGCAGCAGUGACAUCAAACUUUUAUUUUUUUUUCUUUUUCUUUUUAAACUUCUUGUUCAUUUUGUUUGUUUGUUUUUUUUUUUGUCAAAGAGAUUUGUGUUUCUUUAUUUUCUAGCCUGACUAUUUGUAAUAAAAUUUUCUGGAUAAGUUUGGCUUUGCACUGAAGA
Long non-coding RNA from Zingiber officinale, 572 nucleotides. RefSeq lists it as uncharacterized. NCBI's taxonomy places the organism in Eukaryota, Viridiplantae, Streptophyta, Magnoliopsida, Zingiberales, Zingiberaceae. The record is from RefSeq and is a predicted model, not a curated record. The transcript is spliced from 2 exons.